This 405-nucleotide ribosomal RNA is filed under the name uncultured bacterium. Its description in RNAcentral is "bacterial SSU rRNA". It matches the Rfam family "Bacterial small subunit ribosomal RNA", at positions 370 to 772 of the family's 1533-position model. The record is from RNAcentral.
AAUGGACGCAAGUCUGAACCAGCCAUGCCGCGUGAGGGAUGAAGGUCCUCUGGAUUGUAAACCUCUUUUAUCUAUGAAGAAACCCCCGAUUUCUAUCGGGGUUGACGGUAAUAGAUGAAUAAGCACCGGCUAACUCCGUGCCAGCAGCCGCGGUAAUACGGAGGGUGCAAGCGUUAUCCGGAUUCACUGGGUUUAAAGGGUGCGUAGGUGGAUUGAUAAGUCAGUGGUGAAAUACUCUCGCUUAACGAGGGAACUGCCGUUGAUACUAUCAAUCUUGAAUGCGGUGGAGGUGGGCGGAAUGUGUCAUGUAGCGGUGAAAUGCUUAGAUAUGACACAGAACACCUAUUGCGAAGGCAGCUCACUACGCCGUGAUUGACACUGAGGCACGAAAGCGUGGGGAUCAAA